AGCCUGGCUCCGCGCCAGGCACAGGGUCGUUGGCGAGGUCCUCGCAGCGCCCCCUCCUGAUCCCAGCCACGCGAUUUUCGCUCCCGCGCCCCCUUGACAGGUCUCAAGCUCCCCAGCACCCCAGGGGAAGCGGCCACAGGACUAGGGAAGUGUCUGCCAAUGGCUGGAGACGCAGUGGAGAGCCGGGGCAGACUAGAAGCGACCUGUGUCCGAUCCGCACCCAGAUGCCACCAGAGGAGGGGAAGCCGGAGUAAUUUCUGUGGGGAGGCACUAAGAGGACAGCGGGGUCACCCUGCCAUCGCCGCACGUGAGCGAGAGACUCCGAACCACAUCUUUCAGAAGGCCUCCGGACAAGGAGGGCACGCUGAGACAGACGAUAGGAAAGCAGAGAUAGAAGAUGAUCAUGCUUAUUUUUUUAUUUUUUUGGUACCGGGGAUCUAAAAGAAGAUGAUGAUGAUGAAGAACAAGAGGAGGAGGAGGAGGACGAGGAGGAAGGAAGGAAGGAAGGAAGGAAGGAAGGAAGGAAGGAAGGAAGGAAGGAAGGAAAGGAAGAGGAGGAGGAGGAGCAGAAAAAAAUUUAGGAGAAAAAAAAAAAACACAAACCAAGAAGCACGGAGUGAAAAGGCCAGUAGAUAAACAGAACAUUUUAAAACCUUGCCAGGAAAUGAAGUUGAAAAACUGGAAGAGCACUUUUGUCAAAUGACGGGUGAAACCUGGAAGUUAACCAGUGGUCACAAACUUGAGGGUGAUGAAGAUUUGGUGCUUGAAAAUGUGGGCCAGACAUCUUUUGAAACGUCAAACACAGAAGCCGCUAAGAGAUGAAAUUUGCCUAAUCCUUUAACCAAAGUUCUGCCACCUGCUGACCAGCCAUACUUACCUGAAGAACCUUCUGAAACAGCUAAAGUAGUUACUGUUGCUCUGCGAUGUCCAAAUGGGAGAAUCCUGCGGAGGUUUUUUUAAGUCUUGCACUUCACAGGUUUUAUUUGCCUGGAUGAUAAAAAUCGGGUACCACACAUCCCUAUACAGCCUUUUCACUUCCUUUCCCAGAAGACUUCUGAAAGUAGAGGGAGGCUGGCCACUGGCUGACAUAGGAAUAACUAUGGAUUAUCUGCUCAUGGUGGAAGAGAAAGAACAGAGCAACUAGUAAAGAAAUAAGAAUUACCUGCUCUACAUUAAAUCAGUUUACUGUGACCUAAUAGUUCAGUAACAGAUUCAUGUUAAAAUCAUGCUGUACCUUGACUGCACUUAAGACAGUAAACAUUUUAAAUUGAUACACAUAGGAAUAUAUUGAUGUAAAGGAUUGAAAAGGAUUCAUUUCUGCAUUUAAGUUUUGGGCUGUGCCAUCUUAUAAUGUACCAAAUAAGAAUGGGGUAACAAUUAUUUGCAAAUAUUUUCUCCCUCUCUGUGGCUUAUCCUUUCUUUUUCUCUUUCUUUCUUUCCUUCCUUCCUCCCCGCCCCCCUUCUUUCUUUCUUUUUUUUGUACCAAGGAUCAAACUUGGGACCUUGCUAGGCAGAGAAUGGAGUAACAAUGUACACAAGAAGGCACUAAAUUUAUACUUCUUAACUCCCAUCAUUUCUCACUAUGUUAAAAACAUUUUGCCUUCUGCCUCUUUAAUCCUUAACCACAUAGUGACUAUUUUACAGUUCAUUCAGACCUUUCAAAAUCAUGUAAGUAGGAGUCUUUAUUCUACAGUAUUUAAGUUCAAAAACUUAAGUUCUUUAAGGCUUUACUGUUCUUUUGAAAAGUAUGUAUUAUUGUUUACUUGACUGAUGUCUGCAAUGUGUAUAGUUUUACCUUGUAUUAAUUGCAACAUUUACAAAGUUCCAGGUGGAAAACUAUGAAAGCUUUAAAACAUUGGUGAAUUUAAAAAAGAAUAAACCAUUUUAAAGAAGCUUCCUUUGAUCCAAAUUUAUGGUAGCGCGUAAAAAAGUUUAGAACACUUAACUAGAUAAUCUUUUUCUAAUUCCAACAUUUCUGUUUAAAUCUUACUAGGAAGAAAAGGGGCAAAGGGGAAGAGGAAUAGGGAGGGGUAGGGGAAAGGAAAGAAGGGAAUAGAAUAUGAGAAAAUGAAAAAUGGAAACAAAGUCUUUGUAAAUAGG
Molecule: long non-coding RNA, 2100 nt
Filed under: Heterocephalus glaber (naked mole-rat)
Lineage: Eukaryota; Metazoa; Chordata; Mammalia; Rodentia; Bathyergidae
Description: lncRNA (ENSHGLG00000037145.1)
Source: RNAcentral